AGAGUUUGAUCCUGGCUCAGGAUGAACGCUAGCAGAACGCCUAACACAUGCAAGUCGAACGAAUAUUGAUUUUCGGAUUAAUAUUAGUGGCAAACGGGCGAGUAACACGUAUCUAACCUGCCCUUGAGUGAGGCACAACUAUGGAGACAUAGCUAAUUCCUCAUACGUCCCGAUAAAUGAAAUAAUCGGGAGAAAGAUUUAUCGCUCAAGGAGGGGGGUGCGGCCUAUCAGGUAGUUGGUGAGGUAAUGGCUCACCAAGCCUAUGACGGGUAGCCGGUCUGAGAGGAUGUCCGGCCGCAAUGGAACUGAGAACGGUCCAUACUCCUACGGGAGGCAGCAGUGGGGAAUAUUGGACAAUGGGCGAAAGCCUGAUCCAGCGAUUCUGCGUGAAGGAUUGAAGCCUCGUGGGGUGUAAACUUCUUUUCUGGGAGAAGACGAAUGACGGUAUCUCAGGAAUAAGAGACGGCUAACUACGGUG
Molecule: ribosomal RNA, 478 nt
Filed under: uncultured bacterium
Lineage: Bacteria
Description: bacterial SSU rRNA
Rfam family: Bacterial small subunit ribosomal RNA
Source: RNAcentral